Molecule: ribosomal RNA, 31 nt
Filed under: Piper tuberculatum
Lineage: Eukaryota; Viridiplantae; Streptophyta; Magnoliopsida; Piperales; Piperaceae
Description: partial 18S ribosomal RNA
Source: RNAcentral
CGUAGUGAACCUGCGGAAGAUCAUUGUUGAU